GGUGACAUAUGCAACUCUUGCUUAAUAAACAAAAGCAAAGAUAUUACCUUGGUUAUAUAUAUAUAUAGAUAGAUGUAGUGACGAAACAGGAUAACAGACAUCCAAAUCGUUUCCCCGCAGCGAUUACUCCGUAAGGUGACCGCGCGCAACGGCUUCCCGUAUCCAAAACCGCGUGGGGGCCCUGCGUUUCUUCGUUCGCCGCAUAAUCUCUGCAAAGCGGAGGGCUUUUAUAGUCUACCAAUCCUGUUCCUUUCCGGGGAACUCCGUCUCAUACAAAAGCGGGAACCCAUCCGUCCCGCCCAUUGGAAGCUUCAUUCCGCCACUCCAAGCCAUCGACCGAUGGCGGUCUCCAAGAAUACAGAAACCCUAGCCCCCUCAUUGGAGGCGUCGGAGUUCCGCUGGAGGUCGACCUCCUCAUCCUCCUCCUCCGCCGCCUCUCAGGCGGUGCCGAACUCGUCUUCAAGAACGAGCUCUUCCAUCACCGAGAACUCGACCGCGGCGUCGGAUCUCGAUUCUAGGGCAGGAGCAGUCGGCAAUGGAGAUAUAAAGGAUCGGAUCAGCGAGGGGAGCGAUAUUGGUGAGGAGUAGAAGCAAGGGGAGCGAUAUUGGUGAGGAGUAGAAGGUGCGUUCGGGAUACAAGGUCGGGAGCGGUGGAGUUCCUUCUGGUGGAGGUUUGGCGGUUUGUGGACCGGUCUUUGGUGCAGGUGCAUGCGAGAGUGGUGGAGAGCCCAUUCGGGUCGGAUGCGAUCUUUCAACUGGUUUGCGUUCUGUGAUGAAUUCUCUUACUUUUUUGAUUGAAUGAUGAAUGCCCUCGUUUGGUUCUUGGUUUUGGCACAGUUGAAUGCGCCGAGUUGAAACAUUAGUAGGACACGUGAGUGAUGGUUUUUGUGAUACAGAAUAGAGGGCCGCUUGGAUAGCCAUUUGUGGAAAUGUUGUGGCCUCAAGAAAUUGAAGCCACGAGGUUAGAAGGAAAAAAUUGUUGUUGAGAGGAGGACUGAAGAAAUCGAAUCGUCGUCGUCUAUUCGGGUAGGUAUAUGUGAUCCCGAAGGAGAGCAAGCACCAAUCUUUGAGAUUUUUCUCUUUUUCUUUUCAGAGAAAAGGGAGGAGUAGACCCACCUAGUCCGCACCAGUUUUUGAGAAUUAAACUUCAUCACCAUUUAUUUGGUUUGGUACUUUGAAUUAGACAGCACAGGCACCAUUACGUCGUAUGGACAGCACGUUCAAUCAAUUACCUGUGACUUCUUGAUUAAAUGUUCAGCAUCAUGGCUUGCAUUUGGAGGGCUGUACUGCUUACGGGGAUUGGUAUCAUUCUCCCUAUUCUUUUUAGACCUUUUGUCUCCUUGAUUAAGCGACAGGCUCUAUCUUUGUUUUCUCUUUUUGUUGAAUUUUAAUCACUUGCAAAAUGUAAAACGAGAUACUAAGUUUUCCUGGAUUUUUUUUUUUAAAAAUCAUGGUCAAACCUGAUUACGAGUUAAACACUUGAACCAUGUGAAUGAUUAUGCCUAACUUUAACUUUUGAUUUUGACGUGUUGUGCCUGUGGUUUUUAUUUAAAUGAAAAACUAAAGGUUCAAAAACCAAAUUGCAGAAACCACUUUCAAACAUUCUAGACUGUUAUAUUUAGAGGACUUUUAGGAUUUGUGAAGCAGGUUUGAUAUUUCAGUAUUUCUAAAUAAAGUUAAGGACAUGAAUCCUUUUUAUAGCCUAAGCUACAGGUUUACUAAUUGAAGCUAUGUUUUAGCAUUUAAUCGAUUUAGGCAUCUGUUGUUCGUUUCAUCUACUCCUCCCCCCCCCCCCCACCACCACUCUCGCUUGUGCACUUGCUUACUGUGCUUCUUAAUAUUCUCCAUGAUCUCCCUAUUCUUCUUGCCUUUAUGAAUUAUGAAGGACAUCUGACUCUGAUUAUGCCUUUGUCUUUUUACAAUGCAGCACUAUCAGGUGUUGCUCAAUGCCAGCCAUGCCCCUGUAUGCAGAAAGGGAUAGGAGAUGCUGUACGUGUUUACAUAGAACCUCAUAGAUGAGGUACAUAUCAAACAUAAGUACAAUAAUCAAAUGAACAAUUUUGUGGAAGGGUUCCAUAAGGUAGUCUUGUGCAUUCUAACAGAAUUUUGUAAACAUGAGAUAUUUGAGAAGCUACUUGGCAGAUAACUAAAAACAUUUUUAGGGUCCUGGCUAUGCGAGACAUCUCUGGGUGAUUGCCAGUAAUGUUCUGGUGACUCUACAUUUGCGCCUGACUUGUGCAAGCAUAUCAUGUUCCUGAAGUUAGAUAUUAUUAUAAUUGCUGUGGAUGAGAAGAGUUUGAAGCACUUGAAUCUUAAAGUAUGUAGAAGUAGAGGCAUGUUAUGAAGUCGAGUAAUCAUUUAUGGAGGUCUGAAUGAGCUAAUAGUUCAGGAUAGAUAUCAAGAAAUUUAACAGAUGACUGUUUCUUUUUAUUCUUUAUUGAUCCAUGCUCAAGUUAGCCAGCCGGGAAGCAUAGCCUAGAGCCUUUCUUGAUAAGCAAGUACUGGAUGCAUCACCAAGUGGACGACAUGGAAUUAUGGUGGUUCUUCUGUAAAGUCUCGAGUCUAAUUAAUUUUUGGCUAAAUUAUGAUGCAUGGCUGUUAUUAUUGACAAUUAUGUUGCUAUUUAUAUGAUUUGCUUGCCAUCUAAUCCUGUUAUUGCCCUAAGAUUUGAUGCCACCUGUGGCAGAGCCAUGCAGGUCUCUUCAACCUUUCUGUAAUAGUUCUGAUUGCAGUCAACAGCAGGCUUAUUAUUGAGAACUUGAUGAAGUGGAUUUCUUUUCAGUUCAAAAUUUCUGAGAGAUUGGCCGCUGCUUAUAUCCUCACACUACCUGUUUCCCCUCUUGGUGCUUACAUGGUUGAAAACUUUGCAUUAUAAAAAGCUAAUUACUGAACCUGGUCAUGGAAUUGAACUCAAAAGGGGAGCUCUUCAAACUCUUCCUAGUACCCUUGGAUGGAUCAGACAUAUAUUACUUGCAUACUUCAUUUUUAAGCUGUCUGGAAAUGUCAACACUUCUGAACACUUGGGCACAGCAGCAUAAGAUGUGACAUGGUUGGACACUCCACUUUGAAGCUUCCUGCUGCAUCAGCGAAAGUGUCCAGCAAUUUGCACUUUUUUUGGGGUGACAUUAAGGUACUUUAACUUUGAAGUGUUGGACCCUUUUAGUGAAGUGUCAAGUUUCUUCGAUCAUGGUUGUAUCCUUCACACGAAAGGAUAUGCCUUCCUUCGCACGUGUUGACCAUUGGACGAUGGUCCAACAGUUGCUUUGAGAUCUGUGUGGGCAAAUGAAUGACGGAGUUUGGAGUGCUUUGAGAUCUGUGCAGUGGAUGAUCCAACAGUCGCUGGGUGCGAAUGAAGGUGCAUCCUUUUUUCAUGCGAAAGAUACAACCACAUUCCAACUUUCUUUGGAUUGUUCAGGUAAAGUGUUCUUAUAUGUUCAAUGUAAAAUUGUCAAGAUUAUAUAGGUACUUUAAGCAAAAUAUUAUCAUGUUUUAAAUAUCAACCUAAGCAUCUCAAUAUGCCUUAAAUGAACCUAGCGAAUAAAGUAAACAACUUAAAACCUUAUAGCUAUGCUUUUAAUUUAUUUGUUAAAUAGUGUCGCUCCUUUUUUCCUAGAGUUUCUUAUUUUUUUCCCCUCGAAUAAGCAAUAUAUAUGUCAUGUCCUCAUGUCUCCACCACCAAAGAACGCUUAGAUGCUUGCACCCAUGAUUGGAUCUGACUCCUGGUUUGAAUUAAAAUAUUUUGUGUAAAGGCUCUAGGAAUAAGCCAAAGGAAUACAGCAUUCCCUACAACUUCUCCCUCAUCUAGGCCCAAGGUCUGAUAGAUCUCUUAUAACAGCACGGUAAUCCUACAAGGUUUACAUGCUCGACCCUUAAGCUUAGACUUAAUGCAUUGGACUAGCUUCCUAUCAGAAAUAUGGGGCGACUGAAUUAGUUGUAAUCAAGGCUAACAAUCUUGGAAAGCUAUUUUAGUUAAGUACCGAGUCCCUAACCAAUACUGAGUUUGGAACCAGGAUUUCAAACCCUAUGGAUAUUAUCCCAUAUGAGGGGCAGCAGCUUGAAAAAUUUUGAAAACAUGGCAGUAGUUUAUGGAGUCGUAUUAUUUUUAAAGGAUCAAAUUUUAGUGAAGUGCCCGUCUUAUCUCAUGAUUGCAAAAUAAUGUUGUUAUUAGUGCUAGCGCAAGUAAUAGAAAAUCUAGUCUCAAGUGUUAGAAAACUACCUUUUUGGUUAUCUGAAGAAAUUGUGCGGUCCGUUCUUACAUUAUGUUGGAUUAUUAUCAUACCAGGUUCCUCUUGUCAUCUUGACAAAGUAUCUCCAGAAUAAAUUUAAAAACACAACACUUUUGAAGACAUUCAGCAAAAAAGAUUUCAACUAGUCGUCCUGUCAUCUGGAGAUAUUGAAAAGAAAUUAUCGUUUUCUUUUUCUAAAUUGAGAAUCUAUUGGCCAACUUUUAAUUUUCCUGGAGCACUGCGAGGUGGGAAACAUGGACCAUCUAGUUCUUCUUCAGCAAAUAUUUGUCAUCGCGCUUGUUUCAAAAGCAGGGAAUUUGAAGAUGCAUGGGUUUUGCAAUCUUUCGUCUUAUACACAGCUUGACGGUUUUACCCAUCACCUCAAGUAAACCGUGUUUUAGCAUAGUGCACCUUAACAGGCAGUGAGUGCGGUUACUCUUUCAUGCGAUUUCCAGGUCUCAGUAGAGCUAGUUCUUUUUUCCUAAUUCAUGUAGAAAGCAUCGUGUAACUUCUUGGACCCCUGUACCAGUUCAGCCUUGUUAGCAUACUUCAAAUUCAGCUUCAUUUCUGAUAUUUUUGGGUCCUCGGUAGUAUUCAAUUCCAGGAAAAAUAUACAUGCAUAAAAAGCAAUGUAUUGAUUUUUAUUAUUCAAUUUGUACGCCUCCACUGAGGUGAAAACACAAUUUACUGUAAAGCUGACUCCAUCUUCGCCCCUAAUCUCAUGGGUUCAUGAGAUUGCCGAGCAAUCAGAUUUUAAUGCGUGGUAAAGUAUUAAUUUGAGUUUUUAAGCUUUGCAUGAAUUAGGAUCUGUCCAAUUGUACCAGGUUCGUCUCUAGGAGAGGCUUUUCUAAUUGAUUCUGUCCAUGAUGUCACCAAAGUCAGGAGACAGGACAUCUUCUUAUGCUCGCAUCACAGAGCAGAUCACUGCUUUCGGAGAAUUCAUGACUGGGACUGCGACACACUCAGCCGGCAAAGCACAAGGAGUAGAGAUUAAAUGAUGCAUGCGUUUGAUAGGGCUGUGUACCUGGAUAUGGCUCAGUCCAACAUGGUCAUUCUGGUGUGAGACUCGUGAUCCGCAGAUUACCUCAGCUCUUUGGAACGCAGCCUGUCAACUAGUGCUGGAACUCACAGAGAUAGGCAUCGUAUUUCACUUAACAAUUCCACAGGGCAACGCCUUAGAUUGUACUUUUGAAUGCUUUUAGUUUGUAUUGAGCUUCGGUUCCCUUGCUCGCCACCCAAAACAGGGGGACAAGACAUGACCGGCAGAGAUUCCGAUAAAUUUGCCAUAUAAAGCAUAGUUAUAAUUCUAUCAGAAAAGGUGGCAUAUUAGAUCAGCAUAUCAUACUAAUAAUUCAGUUUUCUUACAAUUUUGCUACUUGAAAGUUAUUUAGAACUGAUGACCACAGAAGCAACUUGAGUAAUAGCAAUAUAUUUUUGUGGUUACUUUAAAA
Long non-coding RNA from Elaeis guineensis (African oil palm), 5677 nucleotides. RefSeq lists it as uncharacterized. The record is from RefSeq and is a predicted model, not a curated record. NCBI's taxonomy places the organism in Eukaryota, Viridiplantae, Streptophyta, Magnoliopsida, Arecales, Arecaceae.